Molecule: ribosomal RNA, 1528 nt
Filed under: Klebsiella pneumoniae
Lineage: Bacteria; Pseudomonadati; Pseudomonadota; Gammaproteobacteria; Enterobacterales; Enterobacteriaceae
Also listed under: 5 other names
Description: bacterial SSU rRNA
Rfam family: Bacterial small subunit ribosomal RNA
Source: RNAcentral
AGAGUUUGAUCAUGGCUCAGAUUGAACGCUGGCGGCAGGCCUAACACAUGCAAGUCGAGCGGUAGCACAGAGAGCUUGCUCUCGGGUGACGAGCGGCGGACGGGUGAGUAAUGUCUGGGAAACUGCCUGAUGGAGGGGGAUAACUACUGGAAACGGUAGCUAAUACCGCAUAACGUCGCAAGACCAAAGUGGGGGACCUUCGGGCCUCAUGCCAUCAGAUGUGCCCAGAUGGGAUUAGCUAGUAGGUGGGGUAACGGCUCACCUAGGCGACGAUCCCUAGCUGGUCUGAGAGGAUGACCAGCCACACUGGAACUGAGACACGGUCCAGACUCCUACGGGAGGCAGCAGUGGGGAAUAUUGCACAAUGGGCGCAAGCCUGAUGCAGCCAUGCCGCGUGUGUGAAGAAGGCCUUCGGGUUGUAAAGCACUUUCAGCGGGGAGGAAGGCGAUAAGGUUAAUAACCUUGUCGAUUGACGUUACCCGCAGAAGAAGCACCGGCUAACUCCGUGCCAGCAGCCGCGGUAAUACGGAGGGUGCAAGCGUUAAUCGGAAUUACUGGGCGUAAAGCGCACGCAGGCGGUCUGUCAAGUCGGAUGUGAAAUCCCCGGGCUCAACCUGGGAACUGCAUUCGAAACUGGCAGGCUAGAGUCUUGUAGAGGGGGGUAGAAUUCCAGGUGUAGCGGUGAAAUGCGUAGAGAUCUGGAGGAAUACCGGUGGCGAAGGCGGCCCCCUGGACAAAGACUGACGCUCAGGUGCGAAAGCGUGGGGAGCAAACAGGAUUAGAUACCCUGGUAGUCCACGCCGUAAACGAUGUCGAUUUGGAGGUUGUGCCCUUGAGGCGUGGCUUCCGGAGCUAACGCGUUAAAUCGACCGCCUGGGGAGUACGGCCGCAAGGUUAAAACUCAAAUGAAUUGACGGGGGCCCGCACAAGCGGUGGAGCAUGUGGUUUAAUUCGAUGCAACGCGAAGAACCUUACCUGGUCUUGACAUCCACAGAACUUUCCAGAGAUGGAUUGGUGCCUUCGGGAACUGUGAGACAGGUGCUGCAUGGCUGUCGUCAGCUCGUGUUGUGAAAUGUUGGGUUAAGUCCCGCAACGAGCGCAACCCUUAUCCUUUGUUGCCAGCGGUUAGGCCGGGAACUCAAAGGAGACUGCCAGUGAUAAACUGGAGGAAGGUGGGGAUGACGUCAAGUCAUCAUGGCCCUUACGACCAGGGCUACACACGUGCUACAAUGGCAUAUACAAAGAGAAGCGACCUCGCGAGAGCAAGCGGACCUCAUAAAGUAUGUCGUAGUCCGGAUUGGAGUCUGCAACUCGACUCCAUGAAGUCGGAAUCGCUAGUAAUCGUAGAUCAGAAUGCUACGGUGAAUACGUUCCCGGGCCUUGUACACACCGCCCGUCACACCAUGGGAGUGGGUUGCAAAAGAAGUAGGUAGCUUAACCUUCGGGAGGGCGCUUACCACUUUGUGAUUCAUGACUGGGGUGAAGUCGUAACAAGGUAACCGUAGGGGAACCUGCGGUUGGAUCACCU